RNAcentral lists this ribosomal RNA (450 nucleotides) under uncultured bacterium. RNAcentral describes it as "partial 16S ribosomal RNA". It matches the Rfam family "Bacterial small subunit ribosomal RNA", at positions 338 to 795 of the family's 1533-position model. The record is from RNAcentral.
CCUACGGGUGGCUGCAGUGGGGAAUUUUGGACAAUGGGCGCAAGCCUGAUCCAGCCAUGCCGCGUGAGUGAAGAAGGCCUUCGGGUUGUAAAGCUCUUUCGGCCGGAACGAAAUCGACCGGGCUAACACCCCGGUUGGAUGACGGUACCGGAAGAAGAAGCACCGGCUAACUACGUGCCAGCAGCCGCGGUAAUACGUAGGGUGCAGGCGUUAAGCGGAAUUACUGGGGGUAGAUUCCGAGCAGGCAUGUGAAAUCCCCGGGCUUAACCUGGGAACUGCGUUUGAAACUGGGAGGCUAGAGUGCGGCAGAGGGAGGUGGAAUUCCACGUGUAGCAGUGAAAUGCGUAGAUAUGUGGAGGAACACCGAUGGCGAAGGCAGCCUCCUGGGCCAGCACUGACGCUCAUGCACGAAAGCGUGGGGAGCAAACAGGAUUAGAUACCCCUGUAGUC